Molecule: ribosomal RNA, 565 nt
Filed under: uncultured Glomeromycotina
Lineage: Eukaryota; Fungi; Glomeromycota
Description: SSU rRNA
Rfam family: Eukaryotic small subunit ribosomal RNA
Source: RNAcentral
UUGGAGGGCAAGUCUGGUGCCAGCAGCCGCGGUAAUUCCAGCUCCAAUAGCGUAUAUUAAAGUUGUUGCAGUUAAAAAGCUCGUAGUUGAAUUUUGGGUCUGGCCGGGCGGUCCGCCCUCUGGGUGAGCACUGUUCCGACGCCGGGCCUAUCCUUCUGGUGAGUCGGCAUGUCCUUUAUUGGGUGUGUCGGGGAACCAGGACCAUUACCUUGAAAAAAUUAGAGUGUUCAAAGCAGGCGUAUGCUCGGAUACAUUAGCAUGGAAUAAUGAAAUAGGACGCGUGGUGCUAUUUUGUUGGUUUCUAGAACCGCCGUAAUGAUUAAUAGGGAUAGUUGGGGGCAUUAGUAUUCAAUUGUCAGAGGUGAAAUUCUUGGAUUUAUUGAAGACUAACUUCUGCGAAAGCAUUUGCCAAGGAUGUUUUCAUUAAUCAAGAACGAAAGUUAGGGGAUCGAAGACGAUCAGAUACCGUCGUAGUCUUAACCAUAAACUAUGCCGACUAGGAAUCGGGCGAUGUUAUUCUCAUGACUCGCCCGGCGCCUUAUGGGAAACCAAAGUGUUUGGGUUC